GCUUAACACAUGCAAGUCGAGGGGCAGCGGGUUGAAAGCUUGCUUUCAAUGCCGGCGACCGGCGCACGGGUGCGUAACGCGUAUCAAACCUGCCUCAUACUCGGGGAUAGCUUUGCGAAAGUAAGAUUAAUACCCGAUGUUGUUGCUUUCUCGCAUGGGAGAGUAACCAAAGAUUUAUCGGUAUGAGAUGGUGAUGCGUCCGAUUAGGUAGUAGGCGGGGUAACGGCCCACCUAGCCUUCGAUCGGUAGGGGUUCUGAGAGGAAGGUCCCCCACACUGGAACUGAGACACGGUCCAGACUCCUACGGGAGGCAGCAGUGAGGAAUAUUGGUCAAUGGGCGAGAGCCUGAACCAGCCAAGUAGCGUGCAGGAUGACGGCCCUCCGGGUUGUAAACUGCUUUUAGUUGGGAAUAAAAAAAGGGACUUGUCCCUUCUUGUAUGUACCUUCAGAAAAAGGACCGGCUAAUUCCGUGCCAGCGGCCGCGGUAAUACGGAAGGUCCAGGCGUUAUCCGGAUUUAUUGGGUUUAAAGGGAGCGUAGGCGGAUUGUUAAGUCAGCGGUUAAAGGGUGUGGCUCAACCAUGCAUUGCCGUUGAAACUGGCGAUCUUGAGUGCAGACAGGGAUGCCGGAAUUCGUGGUGUAGCGGUGAAAUGCUUAGAUAUCACGAAGAACUCCGAUCGCGAAGGCAGGUGUCCGGGCUGCAACUGACGCUGAGGCUCGAAAGUGUGGGUAUCAAACAGGAUUAGAUACCCUGGUAGUCCACACAGUAAACGAUGUAUACUCGCGGUUUGCGAUAGACAGUAAGCCGCCAAGCGAAAGCAUUAAGUAUACCACCUGGGGAGUACG
RNAcentral lists this ribosomal RNA (845 nucleotides) under uncultured Bacteroidota bacterium. RNAcentral describes it as "bacterial SSU rRNA". It matches the Rfam family "Bacterial small subunit ribosomal RNA", at positions 46 to 884 of the family's 1533-position model. Lineage: Bacteria; Pseudomonadati; Bacteroidota. The record is from RNAcentral.